Molecule: long non-coding RNA, 609 nt
Organism: Salarias fasciatus (jewelled blenny)
Lineage: Eukaryota; Metazoa; Chordata; Actinopteri; Blenniiformes; Blenniidae
Exons: 3
Source: RefSeq, a predicted model, not a curated record
UAAGUAUAAAGAACAUUGCUGGAGACUCAGUGCCUGUAAAAGUCUGGUCUCAACAACAACAGCAGGGAGAGGAGCCUGGACACGUUAGAAAGAUGAAGAAUUCAGUGUUUAUUGUAGCUUUAUUCAUGGCCUGCUUGUGCAACGCUGGAGUUCUGGAGCUGGGUCAGCAAACAGAAGAAACUAAUAAUACCACCAGAACAGAGACAUGUUGCUGCUGUGGAAAAGCAGCUGGGAAUGACGGAAGCGAUAAGCCAGUGGAUCCACUGCAAUCACAACUCCAGGGCAACCGUGUAGCAUUCGGAGCCGCCCUCAGCGAUGUUGGAAAUCUGGGACCCUUUAACACUCACACUACAUUAGUCUACCGCUACGUCUUCGCAAACACAGGCGCAUACAAUCCAACGACAGGUAUUUUCACUACCCCAGUCAGAGGAAUCUAUUACUUCAGCUUCUCUGGUCAUAAUGCAUCAAGCAGACCAAUGGGCUUGCAGCUGAUGAAGAACGGAAGGCACAUGGUGACCGUUUAUAACCACCCGGCUGGAAAUCGCUUUGAGACGGCAACAAAUGGGAUGGUUCUGCAGCUUGAAGUGGGAGAACAGGUGUACAUGAGUC